This 96-nucleotide transfer RNA is filed under the name Streptomyces daqingensis. RNAcentral describes it as "tRNA-Leu". The record is from RNAcentral. Lineage: Bacteria; Bacillati; Actinomycetota; Actinomycetes; Kitasatosporales; Streptomycetaceae.
GCGGUUCUGGGAGAGCGCGGGAACGCCGCCCGGGCAGGGUGGGGGCGGGUGGCUUCCGCACGGCCGCCCCGCGCGUUCAGCUCGCGCCGGGCCGUG